GGCGUUGAAAGGGUCCCCACUCUCCCAGGAAGGCUGUCACCUCGUCGUAGUCCCGCAUGUCUCAGCUCCUCGUAGAUAGAAGGUUUCCCCAGGGGAAAGAUGAGAAGACCGAUGACUGAAGCCCCGCAGUGGGCACCUGCCUGAUCCUGGGACAGAAACUGCUACAAAAUCUGGCAGGACACCAAGACUUCCCUGUCAGGCCUAGACAAAUGACAUCCUGCAUCACUGACCAUCAGGCCAGAGAAUUUCCCACCCCUAGUGACUGGGGUUCCCAACCCUCAUAAGGAUGUCCAUUGAGUUUCAUCCAAGUACCCCAACUUUGCCCAAUAGAGACAAUCCAGAUUACCUCAUCCCAGACCACCACCCUAUAAAAUAUAGCCCCCUUCUCCACCCAGGUGGAGUCCCCUAGCCAUCUAUGGGUUGCAGGCUCCUCCCUUGCUCUCCCUCCCUCUCCCAUUUCCCACAAUAAAGCUUGGCUAUAUUA
Long non-coding RNA from Monodelphis domestica (gray short-tailed opossum), 484 nucleotides. RefSeq lists it as uncharacterized. Lineage: Eukaryota; Metazoa; Chordata; Mammalia; Didelphimorphia; Didelphidae. The record is from RefSeq and is a predicted model, not a curated record.